Molecule: small nuclear RNA, 322 nt
Filed under: Jaculus jaculus (lesser Egyptian jerboa)
Lineage: Eukaryota; Metazoa; Chordata; Mammalia; Rodentia; Dipodidae
Description: 7SK RNA (ENSJJAG00000007724.1)
Rfam family: 7SK RNA
About the family: 7SK was discovered as an abundant small nuclear RNA in the mid-70s but a possible function has only recently been suggested. Two independent studies have found that 7SK RNA binds the CDK9/cyclin T complex (known as elongation factor P-TEFb).
Source: RNAcentral
GGAUGUGAGGGCGAUCUGGCUGUGACAUCUGUCACCCCAUUGAUCGCCAGGGUUGAUUCGGCUGAUCUGGCUGGCUAGGCGGGUGUCCCCUUCCUCCCUCACCGCUCCAUGUGCGUCCCUCCCGAAGCUGGUUGAAGAGGACGACCUUCCCCGAAUAGAGGAGGACCGGUCUUCGGUCAAGGGUAUACGAGUAGCUGCGCUCCCCUGCUAGAACCUCCAAACAAGCUCUCAAAGAAAGAAAUAACAGAAAAGAGAAGGGAGAGAGGAGAGGGAGAAGCAAGAUAGCAAAGUGGGAAAGGGCCUGAGGAUGAAUCCGUUGUAC